UACGAAGGGGCUAGCGUUGUUCGGAAUCACUGGGCGUAAAGCGCACGUAGGCGGAUGUGUCAGUCAGGGGUGAAAUCCCGGAGCUCAACUUCGGAACUGCCUUUGAUACAGCACGUCUUGAGUCCGAUAGAGGUGGGUGGAAUUCCUAGUGUAGGAGGUGAAAUUCGUAGAUAUUAGGAAGAACACCGGUGGCGAAGGCGGCCCACUGGAUCGGUACUGACGCUGAGGU
RNAcentral lists this ribosomal RNA (229 nucleotides) under uncultured bacterium. RNAcentral's name for it is "partial 16S ribosomal RNA". It matches the Rfam family "Bacterial small subunit ribosomal RNA", at positions 524 to 752 of the family's 1533-position model. The record is from RNAcentral.